AGUCAUGGUUACUAUUCCUUUUAAAUAGUAAUUGUGAUUAGCGAUGCGGGCGUGUUGGCGCACACCCGCAUCGCGU
RNAcentral lists this antisense RNA (76 nucleotides) under Kluyvera ascorbata. RNAcentral describes it as "SymR antitoxin". It matches the Rfam family "SymR antitoxin". The record is from RNAcentral. Lineage: Bacteria; Pseudomonadati; Pseudomonadota; Gammaproteobacteria; Enterobacterales; Enterobacteriaceae.